CCUGGUUAGGAUAGUAACUAACAAGUAGCGAGGGACACCACCAGUUGCCUUUGCCCAAAGUUAAAAAACCCAAAAGAUGCAACUGCCACCUGUAACCAUCGUCCAUUGAUGCGAAUCAAGUCCAAACCCUGUUUUCGUUUUCUUUUUCCUUCCAAUCGAAUUGGUCUCCAUGGAUCUUCAUCAUCGAUGUAUCGAUUUCUGUAAGGAGGCUUGGUAGUUCGCUUUCAUGUCCUAGAACCCCAGGAAUAGUUCUUGACCCCAAGGCAAGGCCUACUCAGAAGGGUACUAUGGUAAUUGCACUAUAUAUAUUUAUCUUAGAGCAUCUGCUAUUGGUGGACAAAGUAGCUCCAUUAACCAAUUGGGGCAAUCCUCCAUACAUAUUACCAAUAUGCCUCUGCAACCUAAUUCAAGAGACUGAAAGCCUAGGAAAAGCAAAUAUGUGGAGAAAAGAUAUGUUCAUCAGUGAUGACAAAGCAUAUACUAGAGAAGUAAAAUCAAGGCAUCCGUACAAGUAGAACGGAACUUUUGCAUGGGGAGAUAUUCUUAUUUGAUUUUUGUUAUCUUUGAGUGGUCGAUCACAAUAUUAGUCAUAUCACUAAGGAUGCGAUUGGAUGUGCAAAAAUCUCUUCUUUUCCAGAAAUUGUUUCUAAGAAAAGUGAAAGUUAUGAAAACAUGUUUGGUUUAA
Molecule: long non-coding RNA, 685 nt
Organism: Lactuca sativa (garden lettuce)
Lineage: Eukaryota; Viridiplantae; Streptophyta; Magnoliopsida; Asterales; Asteraceae
Source: RefSeq, a predicted model, not a curated record